RNAcentral lists this ribosomal RNA (468 nucleotides) under uncultured bacterium. RNAcentral's name for it is "partial 16S ribosomal RNA". It matches the Rfam family "Bacterial small subunit ribosomal RNA", at positions 28 to 507 of the family's 1533-position model. The record is from RNAcentral.
GACGAACGCUGGCGGCGUGCUUAACACAUGCAAGUCGAACGGAAAGGCCCUGCUUUUGUGGGGUGCUCGAGUGGCGAACGGGUGAGUAACACGUGAGUAACCUGCCCUUGACUUUGGGAUAACUUCAGGAAACUGGGGCUAAUACCGGAUAGGAGCUCCUGCUGCAUGGUGGGGGUUGGAAAGUUUCGGCGGUUGGGGAUGGACUCGCGGCUUAUCAGCUUGUUGGUGGGGUAGUGGCUUACCAAGGCUUUGACGGGUAGCCGGCCUGGGAGGGUGACCGGCAACAUUGGGACUGGGAUACGGCCCAGAAUCCUACGGGAGGCAGCAGUGGGGAAGAUUGCACAAGGGGCGGAAGCCUGAUGCAGCAACGCCGCGUGCGGGAUGACGGCCUUCGGGUUGUAAACCGCUUUCGCAUGUGACGAAGCGUGAGUGACGGUAAUGGGUAAAGAAGCACCGGCUAACUACGUG